Molecule: ribosomal RNA, 321 nt
Filed under: uncultured eukaryote
Lineage: Eukaryota
Description: partial 18S ribosomal RNA
Rfam family: Eukaryotic small subunit ribosomal RNA
Source: RNAcentral
CCCUUAGAUGUUCUGGGCUGCACGCGUGCUACACUGAUAUUGCCAAUAUGUCAUUCUUAUCCGAAAUGGAUUGGGUAAUCAAGUAAUGAAAUUUCAUGCUUGGAAUCGGUAAUUGCAAUUUUAUCGUGAACGAGGAAUUCCUAGUAAGCACUAGUCAUCAGCUAAUGUUGAUUAUGUCCCUGCCCUUUGUACACACCGCCCGUCGCUCCUACCGAUUGAAUGCUCAGGUGAGCCAUUCGGACUUUCAUCAUGCUGGUUUCCAGUUUUGAUGAAGGAAAGUCUUGCGAACCUUAUCAUUUAGAGGAAGGAGAAGUCGUAACA